Molecule: long non-coding RNA, 730 nt
Filed under: Piliocolobus tephrosceles (Ugandan red Colobus)
Lineage: Eukaryota; Metazoa; Chordata; Mammalia; Primates; Cercopithecidae
Description: lncRNA (ENSPTEG00000029041.1)
Source: RNAcentral
UGUGCAAGGAGGAAGCAGGGAGACCCCUGAUGGUCCACGGAGUGGGAAGGUGGCUUGGAUCAGAGGAGAAGGGCAGAGGUGCUCAGAUCCUGGAUCUGUGUUGAAGACAGGAUUUCGGUGAUUGAACUUCUUUAAUUCCCACAACAACCCUAUAGGAAGGCACAUUUAUUGGAUGCAAAAAUAGCUCAGAAAGGUGACAGAACUUCCUGAGGCUUGACGGGAGCAGACAGUGGAGAGGCAGGGCCUGACCCCAGUUUCCAAAUCCCUGUUGGUUCCUGUGGAGUCAACAGCCUGGUCUGGUGAUGGCCAUUGGAGCUCCCAGAGGAAGUGACAUUGACGCUGAGACCUGGAGGACCUGGAGCCAUGAGCCAAGCCGCAGCCCUGCUCCCUAGAGAUUGACGUCUUCAGAAACUCCCAGGCCCCUGCUCUUUCCACAUUUUUCAGCCUGACGUGUGGCCAAAGCAUGACAAACCUCCAUGGAUCAUGGAACACAGGAUGUGCUCACACUGGAUACACCUGUGCCUCCUGCACCUGGAUCAAGAAUCAUCACAGCUAGGCCCCCAGGGCUCCUUGGGCCUCCUCUCAAGGUCACCACUCUGAUCUGCUCCCAUAUGGUGGUUUUGCCUGAGGUGGGCUGUUUUGGUGUGUGCCCUUCGGGUCUCUCUUUGGGAUUCUCUCUGUGGAGGAUCACUGAGCAGUGUGCCACUGUCCGCUGGACCACAGACCCUCU